RNAcentral lists this ribosomal RNA (494 nucleotides) under uncultured bacterium. RNAcentral describes it as "partial 16S ribosomal RNA". It matches the Rfam family "Bacterial small subunit ribosomal RNA", at positions 28 to 507 of the family's 1533-position model. The record is from RNAcentral.
GACGAACGCUGGCGGCGUGCUUAACACAUGCAAGUCGAACGGUGAAGCGCCUUCCUUUUUGGUGGGUGUGGAUGAGUGGCGAACGGGUGAGUAACACGUGAGUAACCUGCCCCCUUCUUCUGGAUAACCGCAUGAAAGUGUGGCUAAUACGGGAUAUUCUGGGUCUGUCGCAUGAUGGGUCUGGGAAAGAUAUUGUUUCGGUGGGGGAUGGGCUCGCGGCCUAUCAGCUUGUUGGUGGGGUGAUGGCCUACCAAGGCGGUGACGGGUAGCCGGCCUGAGAGGGUGGACGGUCACACUGGGACUGAGACACGGCCCAGACUCCUACGGGAGGCAGCAGUGGGGAAUAUUGCACAAUGGGCGCAAGCCUGAUGCAGCGACGCCGCGUGAGGGAUGGAGGCCUUCGGGUUGUGAACCUCUUUCGCCAGUGAAGCAGGACUGCCUCGUUUGUGGGUGGGUUGACGGUAGCUGGAUAAGAAGCGCCGGCUAACUACGUG